GAUGAUAUAGCUCAGGGUAGAGUUCUUGCUUAGCAUGCAUGAGGCCCUAGGUUCCAUCCCCAGUACCACA
Molecule: non-coding RNA, 70 nt
Organism: Heterocephalus glaber (naked mole-rat)
Lineage: Eukaryota; Metazoa; Chordata; Mammalia; Rodentia; Bathyergidae
Source: Rfam